AGUGAACGCUGGCGGUAGGCCUAACACAUGCAAGUCGAACGGCAGCACAGUAAGAGCUUGCUCUUACGGGUGGCGAGUGGCGGACGGGUGAGGAAUACAUCGGAAUCUACUUUUUCGUGGGGGAUAACGUAGGGAAACUUACGCUAAUACCGCAUACGACCUACGGGUGAAAGCAGGGGAUCUUCGGACCUUGCGCGGUUGAAUGAGCCGAUGGCGGAUUAGCUAGUUGGCGGGGUAAAGGCCCACCAAGGCGACGAUCCGUAGCUGGUCUGAGAGGAUGGUCAGCCACACUGGAACUGAGACACGGUCCAGAGUCCUACGGGAGGCAGCAGUGGGGAAUAUUGGACCAUGGGCGCAAGCCUGAUCCAGCCAUACCGCGUGGGUGAAGAAGGCCGUCGGGUUGUAAAGCCCUUUUGUUGGGAAAGAAAAGCAGCAGGUUAAUACCCCGCUGUUCUGACGGUACCCAAAGAAUAAGCACCGGCUAACUUCGUG
Molecule: ribosomal RNA, 492 nt
Filed under: uncultured bacterium
Lineage: Bacteria
Description: partial 16S ribosomal RNA
Rfam family: Bacterial small subunit ribosomal RNA
Source: RNAcentral